AAGGUCAUCACAACCGCAAGCUAGCACAUCACAAGAACAACAAGAACAACCACGAACAAAAGUUGCAGCAUGCCAAACAGAUCCUCCUUGUGUGGCAUCUCGCGGGACGCAGCUUUCUUUUACUACAUUGAGACCUCACCAACGAAGCAAAGGCAUACAGGCAACGCCGCAAUGCCAAAGUGUGGCAGUAGGCACAACGGCUCCUUCAGUCUCUGGGCCAUUCUCUUCAACUCCUUUGAAGGGUCAGAGGCCAGCAAAGAGACCUCGCCUUGAAUUUGAGGAGGAGGUGGAAGAUGUUUCCUCUGCAUGCACUGAUCCUCAAGAUUCCACAUA
Long non-coding RNA from Alosa sapidissima (American shad), 333 nucleotides. RefSeq lists it as uncharacterized. NCBI's taxonomy places the organism in Eukaryota, Metazoa, Chordata, Actinopteri, Clupeiformes, Clupeidae. The transcript is spliced from 3 exons. The record is from RefSeq and is a predicted model, not a curated record.